GACGAACGCUGGCGGCGUGCUUAACACAUGCAAGUCGAACGGAAAGGCCCUGCUUUUGUGGGGUGCUCGAGUGGCGAACGGGUGAGUAACACGUGAGUAACCUGCCCUUGUCUUUGGGAUAACUCCUGGAAACUGGGGCUCAUACCGGAUAGGAGCUCCUGCUGCAUGGUGGGGGUUGGAAAGUUUCGGCGGUUUGGGAUGGACUCGCUGCUUCUCAGCUUGUUGGUGGGGUAGUGGCUUACAAAGGCUUUGACGGGUAGCCGGCCUGAGAGGGUGACCGGCCACAUGGGGACUGAGGGACGGACCAGACGCCUACGGGAGGCAGCAGUCGGGAAUAUUGCACAAUGGGCCGAAGCGUGAUGCAGCAACGCCGCGUGCGGGAUGACGGCCUUCGGGUUGUAAACCGCUUUCGCCGGUGACGAAGCGGGAGUGACGGUAAUGGGUAAAGAAGCACCGGCUAACUACGUG
Molecule: ribosomal RNA, 468 nt
Filed under: uncultured bacterium
Lineage: Bacteria
Description: partial 16S ribosomal RNA
Rfam family: Bacterial small subunit ribosomal RNA
Source: RNAcentral